Gasterosteus aculeatus aculeatus (three-spined stickleback) is the source of this 1467-nucleotide long non-coding RNA. Lineage: Eukaryota; Metazoa; Chordata; Actinopteri; Perciformes; Gasterosteidae. The record is from Ensembl.
GUCACCUUACAUUCUCUGCAUGGAUAUAAAAGCUGCUUCAUGCUCAGUGGAGAACAUUGACCAGCAAACAGAGAACCCUGAACAGGUGAACAGGAGAGCAUAACUACUCCACGGCAGGAAAGAGAAGUCAAGCUCAAACCAUCUCUGUGAGUGUUUUUCAUCUCCAUUGUCUAUUUCUAUGAGAUACGUUUCCUGCCUUUUCAUGUUUCAAUGUUAUGAAAUGAUAUAAAUGUUCUUUAUCAUUGGUGAUACAUGUAUCUGUUUUCAGGGUGUAGAUGAAUCUUUAAUUAUUGUCUGUGUACAACUAUUAAUGUGUUAUGUCUUGAUAUUUAAAAGUUGUUCUUUUAACUUAAAAGGUUAAAUUAUUUACAAAAUAGCAUGUUUUAUACUUUUUAAAGAAAGUAUGCUAAUAAUACCGGUAAAUGGUAAAAGUUUGUCAAACAUUGUGGUGUUGAUGAAAAUUGAAGUAAAUUUAUUAAUAUGUAACAAAGUACUAAAUGUAAUUACUAAAUGUAUUACUGGUUGAAAUACACCUGAGUUAAUAAUAACAUCUAAAAGAUCUCUUUUUACAACAGGCAACAACUUUCCAUUGACGAUGAAGAUCUGUAUUGUCCUACUUCUGUGUGUUGCGUUAGGAAAUGCAGAAACAACAACAGUUGCAAAUGCAGAGACACGAACUACGGCUGCCCCAGCGACAACUACAGCAGCUCUAACAACUACAGCUGUACCCGCAACAACCACAGUACCAGCUGCAACAACUACAGAUGCCCCUGCAACAACUACAGUAGCAACCACAACAACUACAGUCGCAGCUGCAACAACAACAGUACCAGCCGCAACAACUACAGCCAACCCAACAACAACUACAGUACCAGCUCCAGCAACUACAGUAGCAGCGGCAACAACUACAGUACCAGCUGCAACAACUACAGCUGCACCCGCAACAACUACAGUCACAGCCCGAACAACUACAGUGGUAGCUACAACAACUACAGCCAACCCAACAACAACUUCAGUGGCAGCAACCACCACAAAUACCCCAGCCACAACUACUGCAGCUGUAACAACUACAGCUGCACCUGCAACAACAACAGUACCAGCUGCAUCAACUACAGCACCAGCUGCAACAACCACGGUAGCAGCCGCAACAACUACAGCCAACCCAACAACAACUGAACUACCAGCUGGAACUACUACAGUAGCAGCCGCCACAACCACAGGAGCAGCCGCAACAACUACAGUGGCAGCCACAACUACUACGGUACCAGCCGCAACAACUACAGCCAACCCAACAACAACUACAGUACCAGCUCCAGCAACAACAGUAGCAGCGGCAACAACUACGGUACCAGCCGCAACAACUACAGCAAACGCAACAACAACUGCAGCAGCAGCAACUACCACAAAUGCAGCUGCUACAACUACAGUGGUAGCCGCAACAACUACGGUACCAGCCGCAACAACUAC